This 252-nucleotide ribosomal RNA is filed under the name uncultured bacterium. RNAcentral's name for it is "partial 16S ribosomal RNA". It matches the Rfam family "Bacterial small subunit ribosomal RNA", at positions 524 to 776 of the family's 1533-position model. The record is from RNAcentral.
UACGUAGGGGGCUAGCGUUGUCCGGAUUUAUUGGGCGUAAAGAGCGUGUAGGCGGCCAGGUAGGUCUGCUGUGAAAACUCGAGGCUCAACCUCGAGACUGCGGCGAAACCAUCUGGCUAGAGUCCGGAAGAGGAGAGUGGAAUUCCUGGUGUAGCGGUGAAAUGCGCAGAUAUCAGGAAGAAUACCCGUGGCGAAGGCGGCUCUCUGGGACGGUACUGACGCUGAGACGCGAAAGCGUGGGGAGCGAACAGG